This 253-nucleotide ribosomal RNA is filed under the name uncultured bacterium. RNAcentral describes it as "partial 16S ribosomal RNA". It matches the Rfam family "Bacterial small subunit ribosomal RNA", at positions 524 to 776 of the family's 1533-position model. The record is from RNAcentral.
UACGAAAGGGGCAAGCAUUGUUCGGAAUUACUGGGCGUAAAGCGCACGUAGGCGGCUUAUCAAGCUGGGGGUGAAAUCCCGGGGCUCAACCCCGGAACUGCCUCCAGAACUGGUUGGCUCGAGGAUGUGAGAGGACAGUGGAAUUCCGAGUGUAGAGGUGAAAUUCGUAGAUAUUCGGAAGAACACCAGUGGCGAAGGCGACUGUCUGGCACAUUUCUGACGCUGAGGUGCGAAAGCGUGGGGAGCAAACAGG